RNAcentral lists this ribosomal RNA (403 nucleotides) under bacterium. RNAcentral's name for it is "partial 16S ribosomal RNA". It matches the Rfam family "Bacterial small subunit ribosomal RNA", at positions 355 to 776 of the family's 1533-position model. The record is from RNAcentral.
UGGGGAAUAUUGCACAAUGGAGGGAACUCUGAUGCAGCGACGCCGCGUGAACGAAGAAGGCUUUCGUGUCGUAAAGUUCUUUUAUAUGGGAAGAUAAUGACGGUACCAUAAGAAGAAGCCCCGGCUAACUACGUGCCAGCAGCCGCGGUAAUACGUAGGGGGCUAGCGUUGUCCGGAAUCACUGGGCGUAAAGGGUUCGCAGGCGGAAAUGCAAGUCAGGUGUAAAAGGCAGUAGCUUAACUACUGUAAGCAUUUGAAACUGCAUAUCUUGAGAAGAGUAGAGGUAAGUGGAAUUUUUAGUGUAGCGGUGAAAUGCGUAGAUAUUAAAAAGAAUACCGGUGGCGAAGGCGACGUACUGGGCUCAUUCUGACGCUGAGGAACGAAAGCGUGGGUAGCAAACAGG